GCGUACAAACGUGGUGAGUUAAGGCGACUUGCGGCCACGUAAAACAAGCAGCUAAACAGCUCGGCGAGUCUUUCCA
Molecule: non-coding RNA, 76 nt
Organism: Acidobacteria bacterium 13_1_20CM_3_53_8
Lineage: Bacteria; Pseudomonadati; Acidobacteriota
Source: Rfam